Long non-coding RNA from Nerophis ophidion (straightnose pipefish), 1209 nucleotides. RefSeq lists it as uncharacterized. The transcript is spliced from 2 exons. The record is from RefSeq and is a predicted model, not a curated record. Lineage: Eukaryota; Metazoa; Chordata; Actinopteri; Syngnathiformes; Syngnathidae.
CCUACAUGCUAGUUGCUAGCGACCGCACGAGAGGCAGUGCAACUGUCAGUGCAAGUUGUCAACAUGUUCGGCAUUUGUUGUUCCUGGCACACGAGACUGAAUGUGGUUUGAGUGAUGUAACAUGAGAGCGCAUGGCUCGGGCCUGAGACACAGCGACCACAAACACUCUCAUGUACAGAGUGAUGAUGAUGCCGAGAGGAAGGAUAAAGGUCACAAUGAGGUCGAGAAUCCCUCCUCCAACGUCAAUAUUAAUGACACACUCUCCAAAGCAGGAACUACACAUUGGCGGAUGAGCCAGUUGAUCCUUCAAAAUGAUGCUACACAGGAGCAGAGCAAAGAACCAACAAAGACAAACGCAAAGUUGAACUCUUUUUACAGUGACUCUGGUGUUAUAAUGCAGGGGAUCACAAAUAGCCACAUAACGGUCGGCUGAUAUCAGCACCAUGUUUCCCACCGAAGCAGACGUCACGAUGAAGGAGACAUAGUUAUACAACAAGCACGGAACAUCACCAAAGGCCCAGCAGGAUGCUUGCAAGUAGAUCUCUCCAGGCAUCACCAGGAGGCCCACCAGAAAGUCAGAGACAGCCAGAGAGAGGAGAAGAAGGUUGGUGGGAGUGUGGAGCUGCCUGGAAACAAGGAAGAAAUAAAGAAAACAACGGAUGUCCUAAGUGGACUAAAGAAAUGUAACAAGAUAAACGUCACACACGCUACUCACGACACAAUAGAAAAAUGUUGCUGUGAGCCUUGGAAGAGAAUAAGUGCCUGAAAUGGGAGAUUGAGAUGAUGACCAGCAGGUUGAGAACCGCAGUGAGGAUGCAGAUGAUGGACAGCAGAACACUGAAAAAAACACCUUCCGACUGAUGAGAUUUUGGCUUCUUGCAGGAGAUGUUGAUGAGUUGUGGAAAGCAGAGCUCUGGUUGGUCCUCAGUCUCCAUCACGAAGAAUAAGAGAGGAGAAGCCGGAGCUCUGACAGCUUUCUCUCUAAGCCUCUGUUCCACGUCCCAUUUAUGUCUUCAAGAGCCAAGAUCUGACCCCUCGUACCUCCCAUAAGCUAACCUUAUUGGUCAAUGUUUCUUCAGAUAAAAUGUCAUGAUGAACAUUUAUGAAUAUUAAAAAUUGUAAUUCUUUGCUUGGUUUGUAAAUGGUGGUUAACAGCAAAGAAGAAAAAACUACUUAAUUUUUCCACAUUUGAUAAAAACUAGAAAUUGA